RNAcentral lists this transfer RNA (54 nucleotides) under Oxyrrhis marina. RNAcentral describes it as "partial tRNA". The record is from RNAcentral. Lineage: Eukaryota; Dinophyceae; Oxyrrhinales; Oxyrrhinaceae.
CGUGGCCCAGCGGCAGAGCGCCAGGGUCAUGAACCAAUGGUCGUGGGUUCAAGU